Aedes albopictus (Asian tiger mosquito) is the source of this 2786-nucleotide long non-coding RNA. RefSeq lists it as uncharacterized. NCBI's taxonomy places the organism in Eukaryota, Metazoa, Arthropoda, Insecta, Diptera, Culicidae. The record is from RefSeq and is a predicted model, not a curated record. The transcript has 2 exons.
AGAAAAGAAGUUGGGUUCUGCUAGGAAAAGACAUUUGUUUCAUAAACUUUGUUAUGAAGUUUGAAUAUAAUCUCACAAGGACAAGGGUUGGUGGUAUUGUUAAAUGAUGCAUUCGUUCAAUCAAAUGGGAAGAAACCAUUUGAGCAGUUACAGACUAGACUAUAGUUGUAUCAUUGGUUGCACUAUGUCAAAAGUAUAACCACAGUAUUGCAGAUGUUAUCCCGUAAUAGACUCACACCCGAAAAAUUCUGUUCCAUCAAUAUAUUCUCUGUACUUUAAAGCGUUGCUUGAAUGUUUGUGUUGGUUAGUAUGCAAUCUAUCUAAUGAUAACUUACGUGUCCAAUUAAAUGUUAACUCUCUAUUUCGUUAAAUCAAUGAAUAAUGCUGUAAUGUUGCAGAAGAAAUGUAUAAACUUAAAAUCCAUGUGAUAAAGAUCAUGUUUAUCUGUUUAGAAUUUAAAUUGUAAUCCCAUUGAAGAAAUGUUUAUAAUCUUCAACUGUUAGAAAUAGCUCUACACCUAAGCUUAACAGAUCAAGAGGAUACAUAUAAUCCUAUAACAAAAAUACUGGUGUUUCAAAUUAUACACUAUACACCAUAUGAAAAAAAAAAAAAUUUCAAACCAUAUUGUCAAUUUUGCACCCUACCGAAUAAGACAAAAUGAAUACAUCCCGGGUGAAACCAUCGUCAGAGUCGUCGCCAGCCAAUCAGCUGAAGGGCGUCUGACGUUUCUCCGAUCACACUAAUACAAACAGCAAUAGAUGUGAUACUUGAUUCGUCUCGAUGAUUCUGAGAUGCUGACUGGAAGUUGGCAGCGCGAAUUGUUGUAGAAGCAACAUUCAAUAUCACGGGUUUAUACGAAGUUCAGGACAAGUAGUAGAAAACAAACUCACUCACCUAAAUAAACGCUAGUAAUAUGAAACAUCGAAAGAAAGGCAACUGCAAAAUAUUAAGUAAGAAAACAGAGCACCGAGAAUGAACGCAAUUUGAAUAAUGCGCAAAUGAUAGUACACUGAAACGAACAUACGAAGCAUAGAGAGUAUGGGAAUGAAUCAGCUUGACAUGGGUAUCGGUAUGAUAAUCCUUACAUAGGUUUCCCUCGAACCUGAAUGGAAUUUAGUCGAUUUAAAAUAAAACGCAUCCCCAGUGUCGUUGAAAGUUUCAUUACGAUUAUGAAGAGCUUAUUUUGGUGUUAAAACCAAUCAAUAAUGCUAGAUGAAUGUUCCAAACCAAAACAACAGACUCAAAAUGUCAAUAUGUGUUGUUCGGUUUUGGCAUUCAAAUUUACUUAAGUCAUUCGACGUCUUUCUUCUGCCAUUGAUUAGCGAUAAAAUAGAGAACGCGAUAGGCAGAAAGAAUUUGCUCGACCAAAGUAGAAACAUAAUUGAGUGAGUGUUUCUUAUGCCUGAAUCAGGAAACAUUUGUUGAAAUCGUAGCUCGAUGCGUAAAGAACAUUACGUAUGUUCUGAUCGGAAUUCAAAUAAAGCGGAUAAUGUUAUCCUAUAAUCAAUUUGGAGCGCACAAAAGAAACAAGUAAUGGAGAGGAUUGUGAAUUCUAGGAAAUUCUCUAUACUCUGAUUCGAAAGCGUUCUCUACCAAAUAUGGAGCAGGCCUAGUGCAUUUGCCGUAAUAUUAAGUCUUCCACAAAAGAGAUAAAAUGAAAUGCAAAAGAAAAGACCAGAUGUAGGAGAAUCUUCUCAGUCCAUUUGGCAUUCCAGUCUAUCAUGAGAUGAAGGAAGUGAGACUUCAGUCCAUCUAUGAUAAAGGGAAACACAAAGGAAACUUGAUGUUUCAGUCUGCAUUAGAGAAGAUCAGAUGUAGGAGAAUCUUCUCAGUCCAUUUGGCAUUCCAGUCUAUCAUGAGAUGAAGGAAUUGAGAAUUCAGUCCAUCUAUGAUAAAGGGAAACGCAAAGGAAACUUAGAGUUUCAGUCUGCAAAAGAAAAGACCAGAUGUAGGAGAAUCUUCUCAGUCCAUUUGGCAUUCCAGUCUAUCAUGAGAUGAAGGAAUUGAGAGUUCAGUCCAUCUAUGAUAAAGGGAAACGCAAAGGAAACUUAGAGUUUCAGUCUGCAAAAGAAAAGACCAGAUGUAGGAGAAUCUUCUCAGUCCAUUUGGCAUUCCAGUCUAUCAUGAGAUGAAGGAAUUGAGACUUCAAUCCAUCUAUGAUAAAGGGAAACGCAAAGGAAACUUGAUGUUUCAGUCUGCAUUAGAGAAGACCAAAUGUAGGAGAUUCAUCUCAGUCCAUUUGGCAGUCCAGUCUACCAAUAAAUAAAGGAAGUUAAUUGAUCUUCAAUUUAUUUUCUGGUACAGGGAUACUGGAAUAUAUAAAGAUAACACUUGAUAUUUAAUACUUCAACUAUUCUAGGUUUUGAUGCAAAUUAUCAAUGAUAUACGAAAUCUCCGAUUAGAGGGCCAAAGGAAUAACAAAACUGUUUAAUUGAAAUAACAGAGGUACGCAAGACUACCAUUCCAACCUGAAGGAUGAUACUGAUAAAGGCUAGCUUUGCAAGCACGAAUUUCUGGAGAGGUCAGCUGACGGUUAUCAAUUAUUUCAAUACAAGAUUCCGAAAUCAGUUUCCUAGCAUAGCAAAUAGUGAUAACACAAGCUGUAUAUAAAUCAUUAGCGAGCAAUUGUACUUGCAUAUAACAUUAUAAUAGGUUUCAUCGAUACAGUCAUUACUCAACGCAUUACACACUAUUUCAAUUUUAUUGAAAGUUAAGGAGAGAUGUAGUAGGCUGGGCUUUGGAUGAUGAGAAAUAAAUGUCAUUGUUGUAUUAGUUUAAAUCUGAAA